This 258-nucleotide ribosomal RNA is filed under the name uncultured bacterium. RNAcentral's name for it is "partial 16S ribosomal RNA". It matches the Rfam family "Bacterial small subunit ribosomal RNA", at positions 793 to 1055 of the family's 1533-position model. The record is from RNAcentral.
GUCCACGCUGUAAACGAUGAUUACUCGAUGUUGGCGAUACACAGUCAGCGUCUGAACGAAAGUAUUAAGUAAUCCACCUGGGGAGUACGUUCGCAAGGAUGAAACUCAAAGGAAUUGACGGGGGCCCGCACAAGCGGAGGAGCAUGUGGUUUAAUUCGAUGAUACGCGAGGAACCUUACCUAGACUUAAAUGUAGAUUGACCGGAGGGGAAACCUUUUUUCAGCAAUGACAAUUUACAAGGUGCUGCAUGGUUGUCGU